GAGAGAAAACCCUGUCCUGCAACCCCCUAAGACACAAUCAAGUCUAGGUUGCAACUAUCGGCCCCUCAGAUCAAAACACAUUCCCAUCUCUACAAACUCUCUCACCCCCUACGCUCUCGAUGUGGCUAGAGGGUCUCCAGCUGGAAAGGUGCCUCUACCGGAUGCUCUCCGGCCAGAAUGAGAGGCUGGAGUCGCGCGGAGGCGCAAGGGAUGCGGGAGAAGGCGGGAGCGGAGCCGAAGAGGCAGCCAACGAGGCUGGGUCUCGGAAACAAGCGGGAAAGGGCGGGAAGGGGCAAAGGGCGGCCAAGGGAGGCGAAAAGGGGAAGCUACAGCAGAGCGGGAGCGGGCGGAGGGGCGGGACGCGGCGGGGAGCGCGGGGGCGCGGGAAGGGGAAAGAGACCCGAGCUUGGGCCGACCCAGGCCGCGGAUGCCGAGGGGGCGCGGAGAGGCCCAAGCCCAGCCCAGCCCGGCCCGGCCCGGCCCGGCCCAGGCAGUCAACGCCGGGGGGAACGACGCGACGAGAGGCGGGCGGGCCCAGGGGAAGCCGCCCGAGGCCAGGUCGGGCCCGCAGGCCGAAACGCGAUGCCGCGAACUCUCCCCGUCUUGUCAAGGGACUCACCUCCUCGCAGCUGGGGCGCUCCGGGAAUCCGGUCCCGUCAGUUCAGAUCGUCUCUCGCAGAUCGCAGCGCCUGACUGACCCGGAUCCAAACCCGCGGAGGGGCCAGCCCGCGCCUCCCGAGUCGCACUGAGCCUGCGUCACUCAGCCACGCGCCCCGCCCCUUGCUCAUGCUCCUCCCACCCCAGUGACUCGGCAGCGCUGCAGGCGGUGGCUGCGCAGGCGCGGGGCACCGGCUUUGCCUCUCAAAUGCCCUGUACCCGCCCCUCUCGGAAGCACGUGCGUGUACGUCAUUUCCUGUUAUUCUCCUCGCUUAAUCCUCGGUGCUCCGCGGGUUCGCUGGGGACCGGAGUUUGGGGCGUGCCCGCUUCCUCUGUGUCAGUCCUCUCAGCUUGCCUCCUGACCUUGCCUCGUCCGCCCAGCACCUCCCUGGGGCAGGCGUACCCUUCGGGAUUUCCCACAUGGCACACGGCGGAAGGGGAAGGAGAGAACUGCCCUUGUCCACCGCCUCACCUGGGGCUGCUUUUCCAGCCGAGGAGCUACCGUGGUGCUGCAGCCCAGCCAGCGGGAGUCUUCCGGAAAGGCCAGUGCUCUCCCUUGGCUCUGCUUAGGGAAUGGGGCACCAGCCUCCUCCAAACCUAAGUGCCUCUGAGCCCCACACGGGGGAUUUGGCCUUUAGGGAGGGCAGACCCGAACGCUUGUCCUGCUUUUUCUCCUGGGCAGGCCCAGAAGGCCAUUGUCUGUCCCUUCCCGCUCUAUGGGAGCUUUAAUCUGACAGUGUGUCAUCUCCACACUGGGGCUGAUAGGAGAUCUCUCUCCUCUUACCCUCAACUUGUGUUCUUGAU
Mustela erminea (ermine) is the source of this 1461-nucleotide long non-coding RNA. RefSeq lists it as uncharacterized. The transcript is spliced from 3 exons. NCBI's taxonomy places the organism in Eukaryota, Metazoa, Chordata, Mammalia, Carnivora, Mustelidae. The record is from RefSeq and is a predicted model, not a curated record.